CGCAUCUUGCGCUCCUUGGUAUUCCACGGAGCAUGCCUGUUUGAGUGUCACGUAAACCCUCACCCCUGCGAUGUCAAAGUCGCCUGUGGUGGAUUUGGACCGUGCCGUAAUUGGCUCGUCCUGAAAUGCAUUAGCUAGUGCUUUUUAGAGUGCUCGGCAUGGUGUGAUAAUUAUCUGCGCCGUCGCCUUAUGCCUCUUCUUUGUGCGCUGCUUCCAAUCGUCCCCAGCGGACAACAUAUUUUAAGCUUUGGCCUCAAAUCAGGUAGGACUACCCGCUGAACUUAA
Molecule: unclassified non-coding RNA, 285 nt
Filed under: Auriculariales sp.
Lineage: Eukaryota; Fungi; Basidiomycota; Agaricomycetes; Auriculariales
Description: partial contains 5.8S ribosomal RNA, internal transcribed spacer 2, and large subunit ribosomal RNA
Source: RNAcentral